UAGGGAAUCUUCGGCAAUGGACGGAAGUCUGACCGAGCAACGCCGCGUGAGUGAAGAAGGUUUUCGGAUCGUAAAGCUCUGUUGUAAGAGAAGAACGAGUGUGAGAGUGGAAAGUUCACACUGUGACGGUAUCUUACCAGAAAGGGACGGCUAACUACGUGCCAGCAGCCGCGGUAAUACGUAGGUCCCGAGCGUUGUCCGGAUUUAUUGGGCGUAAAGCGAGCGCAGGCGGUUAGAUAAGUCUGAAGUUAAAGGCUGUGGCUUAACCAUAGUACGCUUUGGAAACUGUUUAACUUGAGUGCAAGAGGGGAGAGUGGAAUUCCAUGUGUAGCGGUGAAAUGCGUAGAUAUAUGGAGGAACACCGGUGGCGAAAGCGGCUCUCUGGCUUGUAACUGACGCUGAGGCUCGAAAGCGUGGGGAGCAAACAGGAUUAGAUACCCUGGUAGUCCACGCCGUAAACGAUGAGUGCUAGGUGUUAGACCCUUUCCGGGGUUUAGUGCCGUAGCUAACGCAUUAAGCACUCCGCCUGGGGAGUACGACCGUAAGGUUG
Molecule: ribosomal RNA, 550 nt
Filed under: uncultured bacterium
Lineage: Bacteria
Description: bacterial SSU rRNA
Rfam family: Bacterial small subunit ribosomal RNA
Source: RNAcentral